GUGAGGGGCUGGGCGAAAGGAAGGAGGGGAGAGGAUGGGGGUGGGGGGGACGCGCGCUCCAGGAGUGAAAGCAAACUGCUAGCUGUCGAGGCUUGCGGCAGUUCAGGCUUCCCAACAGGUUAGCUAGCCUAGGAUCCACCCGGUAUUUCGCAGGAGGGGGUGGGGGGGGAGCGGCGUUGAGAUAGCUAAAGGAGGGGAGAGCCUUCCUGGAGGACAGAGGGAGGGAGAGAAAGAG
This is a non-coding RNA of Rattus norvegicus (Norway rat), 235 nucleotides long. Lineage: Eukaryota; Metazoa; Chordata; Mammalia; Rodentia; Muridae. The record is from Rfam.